CAAUUUGAAAAACAGCGCUCAACCUACGCUAGGGGACAAAUUUCGAUCCGCACAAUGAUCAAAGAUUCCAAGAACUGCGAUCUAUCACGCACGGGCCCGCGCGGGCUAAAGUGUGUGCGCAUCAAAGAAUAAUGGAAUAAAAGAAUUUUCCAAGUAAAAGUUGGACAGAACGAAACGGGAAGCAAACAAGAGUAAAGAGAUGAAAUUGUCGCAGAACAUUCAGUCAGUCCUUCGCGAGAGCCUCAAGCGAGAGGUCGUAUUGGGAGUACAGUGGCAAGAUAGGUUCAAAAUUAAUAAUAAGAAUUAGUAAUACGCACAAAGUUGGAUGUGUCGAUUAGAAACACAUCUUUUGUUUGCGAUUGCGAUUAAAAUUGAUGAGCCAAGCAGAUAAAGAAUGAAUAUUAGGCAAAACAGCAAAGUAGCCGUAUUGUGUAUAGAAAUGGUGUAAAAUGAGAUUUUACACCUACAAGAUCUUGUCCCGAUUACUGUUCUGCAGAAUGGCGUCCGCUACCAAGCUGGGUUUGUUUGUUGAAGUCAAAUCCACCAAAUCUCACAGAAGUGCCUGGAGUGCCAGAUUCUUACGCACAACCUGUUCAUUGAUUUAAAGAUAACCUACGACACCAUCGAUCAGGAAUAAGCUAUGGAGCAUCAUGCAGCGAAAUCAUUUUGCUGGGAAGUUGAUUCGGCAGUUACCGGCCGUCAUGAAUAAGGUGCAGUACAAAGUGAGAGUAUCGAACAUACGGUCAGGGUCGUUAUAAAUGCGUAGGGAUUUGAGCAAAGAUGGUAGACUAUCCUGUAAUUUCUUUAACAUCGCCUUGGAAGGUGCCAUACGAAACGACAUCCUUGGCAAAAUCGUCCAUCAAGUUCUACAAUUUAUUGGCUUGGCGAAAGGGUUCGGGUACAUCGAUACCAUCAGCAAGGCGACGGCGAAGGUGUAUGAAGCGUACAUCUGACUCAAACGGGAAGCAGCAAGAUUUGGACUGAGAAUCAAUGCGAUGAAGACGAAGUACCUGCUUGCUGGAGGCUCGGAUCGUGAUAGGGCCCAACUGGGAAGUAGCGCAGUAAUUGACUGUGACAUCUUCGAAGUGGUAGAAGUGUUCUGCUGUCUUGGAACGUUCGUUACAUAGGAUAAGGAUAUCAGCAUCGAAAUCCGUAGAGUCAUAGUGCAGCGUAGUUGUGUAUACUAUGGGCUUGACUAUCUACUGAGAUCCAGAAGACAUCGAGACCGCACGAAAUGAGAGAUAUAUCGCACAUUGAUUUGCCCGCAUCUUUCAGACCGUUGCUGGUCUGUGUAUUCGAGCAUGGAGUAUGGAGGCGAAGGAUUAACCACGAGCUUGCUGAACUGUAACACAAACGUUGGCUGAUUGUGGUGAAGCAAAGCGUACCGGUGAUUUGGUACUUACAUCGAUGGAAAGGUAAAGCCGGGGACUGAGAAUCCUGAUGAAUUAUUAUUUACCAGAACACGUUCGCAAUACUCUUUCUGCUGACUGAAUUAAUAUCCGUCGCUGGUUUUCCAGUAAAGCUUUCCGCUGCUAACUGUUCGUGCUUGUGCAUUCCCCGUAUCCGAAAAUGACCAGUAGGCAUUUGGGCAGCCCUCGGCGUCAACGGUUCCAUGGUGUAACGGUUAGCACUCAGGACUUUGAAUCCUGCGAUCCGAGUUCAAAUCUCGGUGGAACCUCUUUUUUCGCACUUUCGAUUCAAAGUUUCUACCAAAUAAAAGUUCACACCCUCCUCCACAAUGUGGUGUGAGCUUUUUAAAAAUCUGCUGUAAAAAAGCAGCAACAACAAAAAGAAGGCUUCACGCGAGGGGGCACCCGGGUUUGAACCGGGGACCUCUCGAUCUGCAGUCGAAUGCUCUACCACUGAGCUAUACCCCCACUUGAGAGAGGGUGUGUUAGAUGCCUAUAAAAACACGCACACGCCUACAUGUGCCAGAGCGGUACGACCAAGCUUUCAGCUGCGACAGCAAGUCGGGCAAUGUGUAGCAUUAAUAUGUCAGAAAACAAGCAUAGGGCUACUACUCUACUUUUUUAUAUUAUUGGCAUUGUUCUGUCUAUGCAAAACACUAACAGAACCAUGAUGAAUUACUUUGAAUGUUUAAAAUCCAGUUGGUUUCCAUGUGCUCCGUGGUUCACAGCACUAUAUGUACACCGGGGAAAAAAGUAGGAGGAGCUUACGCUGUUGCAUUGGAAACGAAAUAAAAUACAAUCGCAAUAUGGAUGAAAAGAAUUUUCCAGGAUAGAUGAAAAA
Molecule: long non-coding RNA, 2250 nt
Organism: Anopheles arabiensis
Lineage: Eukaryota; Metazoa; Arthropoda; Insecta; Diptera; Culicidae
Exons: 2
Source: RefSeq, a predicted model, not a curated record